Molecule: long non-coding RNA, 284 nt
Filed under: Brassica napus (rape)
Lineage: Eukaryota; Viridiplantae; Streptophyta; Magnoliopsida; Brassicales; Brassicaceae
Description: long non-coding RNA (BNAP_LNC015362)
Source: RNAcentral
GACAUGUACGGAUUUACAAGCAUUACAAAACAUCUAAACGUAUAGCAACAUCUACACAUGUACACAGAGUUUUCAACUUGUCCAUAUGGACACUACCUGAUCAUGUACAUUGUUACUACUACUACUACUACUACUACUACUACAACAAAGGUGAAUGUCAAUCAAUAUUCAUUACAUCUUUUAAGAUAUCGCAACGUGUACAUUGGUAUUUAACAUGUCCACAUGGACUCCUUUUAUCAAUAUACUAUGUUCACAUCACAGUUUACAUUGUAUACCGUGUCCAC